AAUUCUCAAGCCGGGAUGCUUUUUUCUGGCUUGGUGUUGGGCUUUGCAGUUCCUUUUGAUUGGGAUGGCUUGCCUUAAAAGCAUCAGCUGGCUUUCAUGUGGCAUUGGUUCUACUCAGCGUGAUAAUGAUCUGACCGCCGAGGACAUCUUUCGGGAUGGCCAAUUCUCAUUUGAGCUGCUUUCUAAUCUGGUUGAAUGGAUUCUGAAUCUGUUCCACUUUCUCAG
This 225-nucleotide unclassified non-coding RNA is filed under the name uncultured Clavulina. RNAcentral describes it as "sequence contains ITS2". RNAcentral also lists the same sequence under 1 other name. The record is from RNAcentral. Lineage: Eukaryota; Fungi; Basidiomycota; Agaricomycetes; Cantharellales; Hydnaceae.